AGGGAUGAAAGAUAAACAAAAUGACUG
RNAcentral lists this non-coding RNA (27 nucleotides) under Cricetulus griseus (Chinese hamster). Lineage: Eukaryota; Metazoa; Chordata; Mammalia; Rodentia; Cricetidae. The record is from RNAcentral.